GAUAUGGUUAAGGUUAAGGUUCAGGGUUAGGGUUAGGGUUAGGGUAACAAACAACACUUAGUGACAGCUGCUAAUGACAGGUGUCAUGUCAUAAUAAUGACAGUGUAAUGUCAGCCUUAUUAAAAAAAUCGGGGCUUUCGCCUUUAAUUGGCCAUGUAAUGUUAGUACAUUAAUGGAAUUCGUCCUCUGCAUUUAACCCAUCCCUGAGGAGCAGUGAGCAGCCAUUUUGCGGCGCCUGGGGAGCAGUUCGGGGUUAAGGGACUUGCUCAACAUCCCACAGUGAUGGCCCAGGUGAGGCUUGAACCGGCAACCCUUCGAUUAUAAAACCUCAAGUAAAGUUUUACCGAAAGCGAAAAUGACAGAGAAAACAUGAAUCAUUGUGUAAACUACUUCAUUGUGAAAAAACUCAUUUUCUAAAAUCCUGCAAUUUUUCUCAAAUUAUUCCACAUAAUCUGCCCAAUAUAAAUAAAAUUUGGUCAAAUAAUGAAUAAAUCAAGGGACAUUUGAGUAUCUGCCACUUAUUGCUUUGAUAUUGUUGAUGCUUUCUAUACUUUAUGUCUCAUUUAUAGCUGGAAGUGCAAACUUGGGCACAUUAUUGUUGAAAUUGUUCGUUUUCCCUACUAAAUCCUGUGGCCCACUUGUGAUGGAACUGGUCCGUAUUUGGCCCUUGAACUAAAAUGAGUUGACACCCCUGCUCUCUGCCUUGCUCAGGAUGUCCGCAAGGCUGCUGAGGAUCCGCCAAGCUCCUCCUGGACCCAGUGGGAUGAAGGACAGGGACAUGGAGGACACCAUACAGGAACUGGAAGCUCGAGUGGUGAUGCUGGAGAGCCAGAAAGGAAUGUUACAGAACAAACUCAGCCUGGCCAAGCAGCACAUCAUGGACCUGGGAAUACGGACGCCACAUCGACUCAGCAAAGGCAAAUCUCUGGAAGUGGAGGGUGGAGCCAGGAGGGCGGCUCAGACGGCUCCUCCUCGCUACGGACACAUGUUGGAUGACACCAGAGCAGAGAUGGAAAGGCUCAGGUCCAAUAUGGCUGAACAGGUGAGGAUGGCUGAACUGGAGCUGACAACUCAGGCACUCAGAGACACGCUGAGGGAGAAGGAGAAGGAGAUGGAGGGAACCGUAAUAGAGAUGAAGAAGCACCAGGCUGAAAGGCACAGGUGGCAAAAUCUACUAAUUUAUUUCAACAUCAGUGAAAACUCUAUCCCUGCCAUUGGUAAUUUAUCAAUCUAGUGUUUUCCCUUUCCUUGUCAGAAUCACCAUUAGGGAAAACGUGGAUCUGAUCCGUUUAAAAAAACAGCUUUCAGACAAAAGUGCAGCCUUGAGAGUUUCUCAGGAGAAGUUCACUGACCUGCAAAAGGUGUGAUUGGUUACAAAUCUGCUAAUCAGUUUUAAAAACUCUUUUUUUUUAACACAAACCCAUUUCCUCUUUCUUCUAUUCAGGCCUAUGAGAGUCAGCUGGAAGAGGUACAGUAAAUAAACCUUGGCUCAGGAACA
RNAcentral lists this long non-coding RNA (1498 nucleotides) under Gouania willdenowi (blunt-snouted clingfish). RNAcentral's name for it is "lncRNA (ENSGWIG00000020110.1)". The record is from RNAcentral. Lineage: Eukaryota; Metazoa; Chordata; Actinopteri; Blenniiformes; Gobiesocidae.